This 281-nucleotide ribosomal RNA is filed under the name uncultured Rhodoferax sp. RNAcentral's name for it is "partial 16S ribosomal RNA". It matches the Rfam family "Bacterial small subunit ribosomal RNA", at positions 1100 to 1382 of the family's 1533-position model. The record is from RNAcentral. Lineage: Bacteria; Pseudomonadati; Pseudomonadota; Betaproteobacteria; Burkholderiales; Comamonadaceae.
AACCCUUGUCAUUAGUUGCUACAUUCAGUUGGGCACUCUAAUGAGACUGCCGGUGACCAAGCCGGAGGAAGGUGGGGAUGACGUCAAGUCCUCAUGGCCCUUAUAGGUGGGGCUACACACGUCAUACAAUGGCUGGUACAAAGGGUUGCCAACCCGCGAGGGGGAGCUAAUCCCAUAAAGCCAGUCGUAGUCCGGAUCGUAGUCUGCAACUCGACUACGUGAAGUCGGAAUCGCUAGUAAUCGCGGAUCAGCAUGCCGCGGUGAAUACGUUCCCGGGCCUU